AAUAGAUACCCGGGUAGUCCACCCCGUAAACGUUGGGAACUAGUUGUGGGGUCCAUUCCACGGAUUCCGUGACGCAGCUAACGCAUUAAGUUCCCCGCCUGGGGAGUACGGCCGCAAGGCUAAAACUCAAAGGAAUUGACGGGGACCCGCACAAGCGGUGGAGCAUGCGGAUUAAUUCGAUGCAACGCGAAGAACCUUACCAAGGCUUGACAUAUAGAGGAAACGUCUGGAAACAGUCGCCCCGCAAGGUCUCUAUACAGGUGGUGCAUGGUUGUCGUCAGCUCGUGUCGUGAGAUGUUGGGUUAAGUCCCGCAACGAGCGCAACCCUCGUUCUAUGUUGCCAGCACGUAAUGGUGGGAACUCAUGGGAUACUGCCGGGGUCAACUCGGAGGAAGGUGGGGAUGACGUCAAAUCAUCAUGCCCCUUAUGUCUUGGGCUUCACGCAUGCUACAAUGGCCGGUACAAAGGGCUGCAAUACCGUGAGGUGGAGCGAAUCCCAAAAAGCCGGUCCCAGUUCGGAUUGAGGUCUGCAACUCGACCUCA
RNAcentral lists this ribosomal RNA (543 nucleotides) under uncultured bacterium. RNAcentral describes it as "bacterial SSU rRNA". It matches the Rfam family "Bacterial small subunit ribosomal RNA", at positions 777 to 1320 of the family's 1533-position model. The record is from RNAcentral.